This 497-nucleotide ribosomal RNA is filed under the name uncultured bacterium. Its description in RNAcentral is "partial 16S ribosomal RNA". It matches the Rfam family "Bacterial small subunit ribosomal RNA", at positions 28 to 507 of the family's 1533-position model. The record is from RNAcentral.
GAUGAACGCUGGCGGCGUGCCUAAUACAUGCAAGUCGAGCGAACGGACGAGAAGCUUGCUUCUCUGAUGUUAGCGGCGGACGGGUGAGUAACACGUGGAUAACCUACCUAUAAGACUGGGAUAACUUCGGGAAACCGUAGCUAAUACCGGAUGAUAUUUUGAACCGCAUGGUUCAAAAGUGAAAGACGGUCUUGCUGUCACUUAUAGAUGGAUCCGCGCUGCAUUAGCUAGUUGGUAAGGUAACGGCUUACCAAGGCAACGAUGCAUAGCCGACCUGAGAGGGUGAUCGGCCACACUGGAACUGAGACACGGUCCAGACUCCUACGGGAGGCAGCAGUAGGGAAUCUUCCGCAAUGGGCGAAAGCCUGGCGGAGCAACGCCGCGUGAGUGACGAAGGUCUUCGGAUCGUAAAACUCUGUUAUUAGGGAAGAACAUAUGUGUAAGUAACUGUGCACAUCUUGACGGUACCUAAUCAGAAAGCCACGGCUAACUACGUG